UACGAAGGGGGCUAGCGUUGUUCGGAUUUACUGGGCGUAAAGCGCACGUAGGCGGUUUGUUAAGUCAGAGGUGAAAUCCCGGAGCUCAACUCCGGAACUGCCUUUGAUACUGGCAAGCUAGAGUCCGGAAGAGGUAAGUGGAACUCCUAGUGUAGAGGUGGAAUUCGUAGAUAUUAGGAAGAACACCAGUGGCGAAGGCGGCUUACUGGUCCGGAACUGACGCUGAGGUGCGAAAGCGUGGGGAGCAAAC
This 250-nucleotide ribosomal RNA is filed under the name uncultured bacterium. RNAcentral's name for it is "partial 16S ribosomal RNA". It matches the Rfam family "Bacterial small subunit ribosomal RNA", at positions 524 to 773 of the family's 1533-position model. The record is from RNAcentral.